AAUCAACGCUGGCGGCGCGCUUAACACAUGCAAGUCGCACGAGAAAGGGAGCAAUCCUGAGUAAAGUGGCGUACGGGUGAGUAACACGUGGGAAUCUACCUCUUGGCGGGGAAUAACCCUGGGAAACCGGGGCUAAUACCGCAUAAGCUCGUGAGAGGAAAGCAGCGAUGCACCGAGAGAGGAGCCCGCGGCCGAUUAGCUAGUUGGUGGGGUAAUGGCUCACCAAGGCGAAGAUCGGUAGCCGGCCUGAGAGGGCACACGGCCACACUGGCACUGAAACACGGGCCAGACUCCUACGGGAGGCAGCAGUGGGGAAUCUUGCACAAUGGGGGAAACCCUGAUGCAGCGACGCCGCGUGAGCGAUGAAGCCCUUCGGGGUGUAAAGCUCUUUCGACAGGAACGAUAAUGACGGUACCUGGAGAAGAAGCUGCGGCUAACUACGUG
RNAcentral lists this ribosomal RNA (444 nucleotides) under uncultured bacterium. RNAcentral describes it as "partial 16S ribosomal RNA". It matches the Rfam family "Bacterial small subunit ribosomal RNA", at positions 29 to 507 of the family's 1533-position model. The record is from RNAcentral.